RNAcentral lists this ribosomal RNA (311 nucleotides) under uncultured Latescibacterota bacterium. RNAcentral's name for it is "bacterial SSU rRNA". It matches the Rfam family "Bacterial small subunit ribosomal RNA", at positions 1072 to 1382 of the family's 1533-position model. The record is from RNAcentral. Lineage: Bacteria; Pseudomonadati; Candidatus Latescibacterota.
UGUUCGGGUUAAGUCCCGCAACGAGCGCAACCCUUAUCCCCAGUUGCCAUCAGGUAAAGCUGGGAACUCUGGGGAGACUGCCGGUGAUAAACCGGAGGAAGGCGGGGAUGACGUCAAGUCCUCAUGGCCCUUACAUCCCGGGCUACACACGUGCUACAAUGGCAGGUACAGAGGGCUGCGAAGCCGCGAGGUGGAGCGAAUCCCAGAAAACCUGUCUCAGUCCGGAUUGAAGUCUGCAACUCGACUUCAUGAAGGCGGAAUCGCUAGUAACCGCGAAUCAGCAGGUCGCGGUGAAUACGUUCCCGGGCCUU